Molecule: small RNA, 125 nt
Filed under: Marmota monax (woodchuck)
Lineage: Eukaryota; Metazoa; Chordata; Mammalia; Rodentia; Sciuridae
Source: RNAcentral
GCCAGGCAUGGUGGCGCACGCCUGUCAUCCCAGUGGCUCAGGAGGCAGAGGCAGGAGGAUCAUAAGUUCAAAGCCAGCCUCAGCAAAAGGGAGGCACUAAGCAAUUCAGUGGGAUUCUGUCUCUA